This 111-nucleotide unclassified non-coding RNA is filed under the name Cortispongilla barroisi. RNAcentral's name for it is "sequence contains 5.8S rRNA gene, ITS2". Lineage: Eukaryota; Metazoa; Porifera; Demospongiae; Spongillida; Malawispongiidae. The record is from RNAcentral.
CCUGCGGGCGUUUGCUUCAAACCCAAACGUUUCUUCGCAGGCGGUGGCGCGUUGAKGCGUCKUCCGGACAACGGGCGUCCCUUSAAGUGCGAACCCCCCCCCCCCCCCCCC